UUUGUUCAACAACAGUACAAUGACCGAAAGAACAUCAGUUCAAAAAAUAUGCAGGAGGUUUGGGAGCCAAACAACUGGUAUUUUGUUGUGUUUUAAUUUUUGGGUGCAUGAUUGAACAAAGAGAGAGAAAUAAUGUAUGACAUAUAUACUGUUGUUGCAGGAGGUUCAAAGAUUGUCGUGGAGCAAGUUCAAGAGUUUGGUUUCAUGUGGAAAAAUGUGAUUUUUUGGUCAAGAUUUUGCAUGAUUGAUAGCCAUCAGUGGCAGCCGGCGAGCAGUUCAAGCCCGCAUGCGCGAGCCGCCCAUCGUCUUCCACACGUGAUCCUAUUGCUUGAUGAUGCUUGACAUGAACUGAACUAGCUGGAUGGAAUUGUUUUUCUGCAAUGUAAUGUAAAUGAAUAUGGUAAACAAACUGGGACACCAAAUUGUUUUAGAGGUGGAGUUUGUGCUCCAGUUGAGUUCCAGCAGAUUGUGGCUGCUGGUUGUUUCAAGUGAAGGUGGUCGGGCAUUACUUGUGUAGGACUGAAUGAAUCUUGUAUGUAAAGGAAACUGGAUCAAAUAGUCGUCAGUGUUAAGAUUUAAAAUUACAUUUUGAUCCAUUCUCUUGUG
RNAcentral lists this long non-coding RNA (606 nucleotides) under Triticum aestivum (bread wheat). Its description in RNAcentral is "long non-coding RNA (TAES_LNC006770)". Lineage: Eukaryota; Viridiplantae; Streptophyta; Magnoliopsida; Poales; Poaceae. The record is from RNAcentral.